Long non-coding RNA from Rhodamnia argentea, 675 nucleotides. RefSeq lists it as uncharacterized. Lineage: Eukaryota; Viridiplantae; Streptophyta; Magnoliopsida; Myrtales; Myrtaceae. The record is from RefSeq and is a predicted model, not a curated record. The transcript is spliced from 2 exons.
CUUACUAAUAAGAAAUGUAAGUUGUUAAACAAUGGAGAAACGUUCAUCCAUGGAAUAUUGUGAAGGCUCUUUAUGUGACGAACAUCCUUGAUAAUACCACUACUUAACAAGUUAAGGAAAGUUUCCAGCAUCAUGGAGAACUGACAAAGGUGGACAUGCCACCUUCGAAAUCUGGGAUUAGCGAACGAGAUUUUGGAUUUGUUCACUAUGCUGAAAGGUCAAGCGCAUUGGCUGUCAAAGAUUCUGAGAAAUGAAAUUGACAGUAAACAUCUUUGGACUUUCUCUGGGGAAUGUGGGGCAAGAAAUUGAAUUGGAUCUCUGUUUAUCUGUUGUCUUCAGAUGCACAUAGUCUGCAACUACUGCUUCUGUGAGGCCACGCAAUGAUAAUGUUUAGGGUUUGUUUAAUCAAUUUAGGAAUAGCACAAAUCUUUAUUCUUAGGAAUUUCUGUGGGUUGUCCGAUGCUGAGUAAGCCACUUAGAAAAGCUCUAGGUGUGACAGUAAGAUGCAACUACGUCUGUCUCAACAGAACAAUUGAUUCCUGAGGGCUGUGCUUCCUCUUUGUGGUGGAUAAUUUUGAAUGGCUUUUCAUGGCUUGGAACAUAGGAGUAUUAAUUUGUUGGCGAAGCUGUCACCCUUGUUGGCUUAAUAAUAAACUUGUGAACUAUACUUGCCUC